GAUUUGUUCGUUUAGAAUAUUUUGUAAUAAAGUUGUAAGAUCAGAACUGUAAAUUAUACACCAUUUAAUUUCAGUAACUUACUUGAUUUAACUGUCAGCACUACGCCUGUGCCAAAGAUCAUCUUAUAUCCAGUAGUCACACAUUAUGCGGACAUGAAGCAAAAACAUUCUUGCAUAAGAACCCAAUCUUAUGUCAUUAUUGUUCUACUUCACCCUUUUGCCUUACCUUAACAUUAUAUGCUGUUAUAUUUUAGUGUAGUUUGUACAUGGUUGUAGUUGACUUUACAUUAUGCACAGAUAAUAAGUGGUUGUGAUUUUUAUGUAAUUAAUGCGAACAACCAUACAUAAAUCCUAAUGUAAAAGAUUAGCUUUACUGUUUUUAUCAUUAUUUCAUAUUUUAUUUGAAACACUUACUUGUUUCAGUGAUUAAUUGGAUUCCAGAGCCAAAAUAGAUUUUCCAGUCUGAUUUAGUCACACACCGUACUAUCCCUAAGCAAUAACUCUUUAGCUACUCUGAUACAUUUGAUUAAAAUUCACUGUUGCAUUUCAUGAUAGAUAUUUACAACUGUUAAACAUUGACAUAUUUAUGAAAGUAUUUGAAUCUAAACAGAAGUUUUUAGGCAUUAAACUUUGCUAGUGAAAAAAGUUCAUAUUCUCACCGCAUUCUCAUUGUAUACUCUAUACAAUGAGAUAUAUAAUGUAUAUAUAAUAUAUAAUGUCUCUAUGGGGUAUAAUUAUCUAUUUCAUUUUUAAAAUUUUCCUAAUUAACGUUAGCCACUUACUUGUCUCAACAAUAAGUUUGAUUCCAGAGCCAAAGUAGAUUCUCCUAACCCCAUCAGUCACACACUGUUAUUUUCCUGAUCAAAACGUCUCUCUUCUAAAGCGGUAUUCUAGAUAUACUUAAUCAAAUUUGACUUUAAAUACUGAUUGCAUGGUAGAAAUGUAAAUAGAAGUUGUAUUCUUUUACUAUGUAUUUUUGAGCAUUACAAUAUGUUGAUAGUAGAUUUGCAAUAUCACAUGCCAGUAGUGUCACUAACUUAAACUCAGUUAAGAUUGAGAAAAUGUAUAGUUGUUUUUUGUUGUUGUUGUUGGUGGUGGUGGUGG
Ictalurus punctatus (channel catfish) is the source of this 1104-nucleotide long non-coding RNA. The record is from Ensembl. Lineage: Eukaryota; Metazoa; Chordata; Actinopteri; Siluriformes; Ictaluridae.